AAUAAUUAUACCAAUCAACAACAGUUUGAUCGACUUGCAAUUUGAAGUUCGUGUCUCACGAAACUUUCAGUAGCUUUGUCUACCCAGAAAUAUGUUAUUAACAGAACUUUUUCCAGCGUUAAUGUGUGCUUUUCAAACCAGCUACCAGUCCUGAUGGAAAUUUUGUUGUUGCAGGUUUUGUUAGAACAUCCUCCAUACAAAUCCGUCGCUUGAAUAUGACGAAUCCUUUCUUAAUCCAAAUUUCCCGUUGUCACAGCUGCCACAGAUUUUGCCGUCCAAAUUUAUCAAAACAGAAAGCAGUGAAUCAGCUCUCUUACAUCAGCACAAAUAAAAAAAAAUUCUUUCAGUUUUAGGGGCAUUUCAUCGCAAAUCAGUUUGUUUACAUCAACACCAGUGACGUGACCAUUUUGCUCAACAACGGAUUCCAUUUAUUUUGGAACAAAAAAUCAAUUUUACUGAUCGCUAACGCGAUCGUAUAUAGACCAUUCCUGUGCGUAAUUCUUACAUAGUCGUCUCCCCUGGCCGAUAGGUAGCGUAAACAUCGGCGGCCAUUGCGGUACUGCACAACAGAUAGUCUGAUAUUUUGAAAACACCGAUUAUCAUGCCGUAUAAGCGGGGUGGAGGCAAAAUGUGUGUGAUCAUCGGUUGCCACCAUAAUCAAAAGAAGUUAUAUGACUGGAAAAAGGCGAAUUGCGAAGAACACGGCUUACUGCAUAAGGAUUGCCCUUGUCUUCAGCCAUUCUCCAUGCAGGGUCCGUGGAAUUACCGGAAACACCAGGUAAUUCCCGAAAACACCAAUAAAAGUACCGAAGAAUGUGGAAAGACGCCGAGCAUGGAUUCGUGCCAUUAAUAGAAAAGACUUUGAUCCAAAGAACAAAGACCAGGUGUGUUCUAUUCAUUUCCUUGAUGGUAGACCGACAGAGCCAAAUCCUGAUCCUGUUCUUCAUCUCGGAUACAAGAUUGAAGUUAAAUCUGGACGUCGAAAGGUCACUCGAGUGCCCUUUCUUCCAAUUUCAACAGAGUGCAACAAACCGUGUCCAACAACUGAAGAUUUCCAUACAUUUUCCAACCAAGAAUGCGAAUCAGCAGGUGAUGGACACGUAGAAUCGAAUAAUGUACAAAGUUCAAACCACUGUUCUCAGACAGAACCUGUAAUAUGCCACUUUGCUGAGGAAAAAUGUCCUUGUGUUAAAAAAAACAUGUGACUCAAGCACACAGACAGAAAAUUUUGUGACCAUUGAGCAUUGUUAUGCUAUGUUAGGACCAAAGACAAAAUGUAUUGGCAUACAACACUCUUCCCAAUUAGGUGUGGAUUUAAUUAACACUGACAGUGAAGCCAGAUUUUACACUGGUUUUACUUGUGCUGUUUUUUCCCCACUAGUUAAUACUUUAUCUGAGUUUGGAAAGAAAUUGCCAUACAGAUUGCCUAUUCCUGAUCAGAUUUUACUGACAAUAAUGCGUCUGCGUCUGGGACUAGCUUUUAAGGACUUGGGAAACAGAUUUGGUAUUUCAUUUCAACUAUGCAGUUCAAUCUUUUCCUCCUGGAUAAAUAUUAUGCACAAACAUUUGCGAAACUGUGUACUCUGGCUUCCACGAGAAUCUAUUCAAAGGACUAUGCCACAGUCAUUUAAGGAUACUUUUCCAAAAAUAACUUGUGUUAUUGAUUGUACCGAGAUAUUUAUUCAGCGUCCAUUUUCCCUUAAAGACAGAGCUCAAACCUAUAGUACCUACAAGGGGCAUAACACUGCAAAAGUUCUUGUAUCCAUACCUAGUGGAUACAUUAUGUUUAUGUCACAUGCUUAUGGUGGAAGAGCUAGUGAUAACUUUAUAACUAAGUCAUGUGGAUUUUUAAAUGUGUUACGGUCGGGCGAUGAGGUAAUGGCAGAUCGUGGUUUCACAAUUAGAGAGGACAUUUUUGUUCGUCGAGUUAAGUUGAAUAUUCCUGCUUUUACGAAGGGGCGGUUACAGCUUAGUGAAAAAGAGACUGUGGAAUCAAGACGUAUUGCUUCAGUUCGUAUCCACGUGGAAUGUGCAAUUGCCCGUCUUAAGAACUACUGAAUUUUGAACACAACAGUAGCUGUUAAAUCAUUGAAAAAAUUGGACAAAAUUAUCAGUGUUUGUGCUGCUUUGUGCAAUUUGCAUGGUGACGUAAUUAAGGAGAAUUCAAUGUACUAAAAUUUGAAUUCAAAUGAAAUUUGACCAGACAAUCCGCAUUGAAUUAAAUAAAAAAAAUACUUGUUUGAAAUCU
Long non-coding RNA from Ostrea edulis (European flat oyster), 2248 nucleotides. RefSeq lists it as uncharacterized. The transcript has 3 exons. The record is from RefSeq and is a predicted model, not a curated record. NCBI's taxonomy places the organism in Eukaryota, Metazoa, Mollusca, Bivalvia, Ostreida, Ostreidae.